This 162-nucleotide ribosomal RNA is filed under the name Eremitis sp. ILCO-2018. Its description in RNAcentral is "5.8S ribosomal RNA". The stretch from base 82 to 162 matches the Rfam family "5.8S ribosomal RNA", at positions 1 to 81 of the family's 154-position model. Rfam says of the family: 5.8S ribosomal RNA (5.8S rRNA) is a component of the large subunit of the eukaryotic ribosome. It is transcribed by RNA polymerase I as part of the 45S precursor that also contains 18S and 28S rRNA. Functionally, it is thought that 5.8S rRNA may be involved in ribosome translocation. The record is from RNAcentral. Lineage: Eukaryota; Viridiplantae; Streptophyta; Magnoliopsida; Poales; Poaceae.
ACACUGUGCCCAACCGGGGCGCGCACGGGCCGGCAAGCACGGACCGGACGCCCCGCGUUGAUACGAUACGAUAAUCCACACGACUCUCGGCAACGGAUAUCUCGGCUCUCGCAUCGAUGAAGAACGUAGCGAAAUGCGAUACCUGGUGUGAAUUGCAGAAUC